Molecule: long non-coding RNA, 304 nt
Organism: Corticium candelabrum
Lineage: Eukaryota; Metazoa; Porifera; Homoscleromorpha; Homosclerophorida; Plakinidae
Exons: 3
Source: RefSeq, a predicted model, not a curated record
CAAAGUGCAACCUGAUCAUCAAGUGGCUUGUCAGUUCCUGGUGCGAUUAUUUCCACCUGGGUCAAGCGCGACAGUGAGCACUGCAGUUUGCAAGAAGAGACUUGCACCAAGUAGCUGUGGAAGCAGACACGUACAGAAAGUUGGGAGUGCACAGUCAACUGGAUUAAAGGCUGUUUGUGUACAUCAAUAAAGAAUCCCACCCCAACAUGUCUCCUGGUGUAUCUGGCAGUGUUUCAACCUUUCUUAUCUUCAGAGCCCUCGGACUUCCAUCCACAUGCGGACAAAAAGGUGUGCCUCGAUCCCA